This 310-nucleotide ribosomal RNA is filed under the name uncultured Psychromonas sp. Its description in RNAcentral is "bacterial SSU rRNA". It matches the Rfam family "Bacterial small subunit ribosomal RNA", at positions 30 to 334 of the family's 1533-position model. Lineage: Bacteria; Pseudomonadati; Pseudomonadota; Gammaproteobacteria; Alteromonadales; Psychromonadaceae. The record is from RNAcentral.
AUUGAACGCUGGCGGCAGGCUUAACACAUGCAAGUCGAACGGUAACAGAGAAGUGCUUGCACUUUUGCUGACGAGUGGCGGACGGGUGAGUAAUGCUUGGGAAUAUGCCAAAACGUGGGGGACAACAGUUGGAAACGACUGCUAAUACCGCAUAAUGUCUUCGGACCAAAGCAGGGGACCUUCGGGCCUUGCGCUAUUCGAUGAGCCUGCGUGAGAUUAGCUUGUUGGUGAGGUAAUGGCUCACCAAGGCGACGAUCUCUAGCUGGUCUGAGAGGAUGAUCAGCCACACUGGGACUGAGACACGGCCCAG